CCUACGGGUGGCAGCAGUGGGGAAUUUUGCGCAAUGCUCGUAAGAGUGACGCAGCGACGCCGCGUGAAUGACGAAGGCCUUCGGGUUGUAAACCACUUUUGUAGAGAACGAAAAGUCUGUUGAUAAUACCGAUAGAUGAUGACGGUACUCUAAGAAUAAGCACCGGCUAACUACGUGCCAGCAGCCGCGGUAAUACGUAGGGUGCGAGCGUUAAUCGGAAUUACUGGGCGUAAAGGGUGUGCAGGCGGUUUUGCAAGAUGGAUGUGAAAGCCCCGGGCUUAACCUGGGAAAGCCAUACAUGACUGCAAGACUAGAGUGCGUCAGAGGGGGGUGGAAUUCCAAGUGUAGCAGUGAAAUGCGUAGAUAUUUGGAAGAACACCGAUGGCGAAGGCAGCCCCCUGGGACGCAACUGACGCUCAUACACGAAAGCGUGGGGAGCAAACAGGAUUAGAUACCCGGGUAGUC
This 465-nucleotide ribosomal RNA is filed under the name uncultured bacterium. RNAcentral describes it as "partial 16S ribosomal RNA". It matches the Rfam family "Bacterial small subunit ribosomal RNA", at positions 338 to 795 of the family's 1533-position model. The record is from RNAcentral.